CCUCGCCUCUGCCUCACAUGGCUCAUUCCUUGAGCCAAUUCCCUCCACCUUCCCGCCCCAGUUCACCAGUCAUACCCCUAUUCUCUGAUCGCUGGACACUCUCCAUAUUGGAAUGCAGUCUGUGACCUUGGUAACCUUGUCCCACAACCUGGUCAGAGAAAACAUGGGAGGGUUGGAAGCAACACAACAUCAUAGUCCCUGAAGAAGAGGAUACCACAGUCAAUGUGGAUCACUGGAAAGGACUACUGGCGAUAGUGACAUGGCCACAGCAGCUCUUGGCCUAUCUGCACACAACAAUGUCCAGAAGACAAAAAUAGUUCUGUCCAGUAGAAUGCAAUCCAUAUAACUAAUUUGUCUAACACUCACAUCAAAAAAGUAAAAGGAUCCAGUAAUUCCACCUGAGUAUUUAACCAAUGGAAACGAAGACACUAAUCUGAAAUGAUACACACACCCCCAUGUUUACUGCAGCAUUGUUUACGACGGUCAAGAUACGGAAGCAAAACUCGCCGUAUGUCAAGUGCUCAGUAGUAACAUGUGGCUGGUGGCUAUCGUACUGCACAGCAUGGCUCUAGAAAGUUCUCCCAGAAGAGUAAAGAAGCCCCCAGAGCACUGCUUCCUGUAUCCACUGGCCCAGCGGGGCACUACCCACUUCGUGAAACAACCAUUGACAGGGGAGACAAUUUCCUUACAUCUAACCCAGCUCAUGUUGGAUGCUGUGGAUGAAGUUUCCCCUGAGGCAGAUGAGCUACUUAAUGAAGACGAGAAACAAAGAACAUAAAUCAAAAAUCUAAAAAAAAAAAAAAAAAAAAAAAA
Molecule: long non-coding RNA, 813 nt
Organism: Suricata suricatta (meerkat)
Lineage: Eukaryota; Metazoa; Chordata; Mammalia; Carnivora; Herpestidae
Exons: 3
Source: RefSeq, a predicted model, not a curated record